This 498-nucleotide ribosomal RNA is filed under the name uncultured bacterium. Its description in RNAcentral is "partial 16S ribosomal RNA". It matches the Rfam family "Bacterial small subunit ribosomal RNA", at positions 28 to 507 of the family's 1533-position model. The record is from RNAcentral.
GACGAACGCUGGCGGCGUGCCUAAUACAUGCAAGUCGAGCGGACGAACCGUAAGCUUGCUUUUGAUUCGUUAGCGGCGGACGGGUGAGUCACACGUGUGCAACCUGCCCUGUAGACGGGGAUAACACCGAGAAAUCGGUGCUAAUACCGGAGAACACGAUAUGUCGCAUGACGGGUCGUUGAAAGACGGCGCAUGCUGUUGCUACAGGAUGGGCCCGCGUCGCAUUUGCUGGUUGGUGGGGUAACGGCUUACCAAGGCGACGAUGCGUAGCCGAACUGAGAGGGUGAUCGGCCACACGAGGAGUGAGACACGGCCCAGGCUCCUACGGGAGGCCGCAGUAGGGAAUCUUCCGCAAUGGUGGAAAGUCUGGCGGAGCAACGCCGCGUGAGAGACGACGGCGUUCGGGUCGUAAAGCUCUGUUGUUAGGGAAGAACAAGUAACGCAGUAACUGGCGUUACCGUGACGGUACCUAACGAGAAAGCCACGGCUAACUACGUG